UACGGAGGAUGCAAGCGUUAUCCGGAAUGAUUGGGCGUAAAGCGUCCGCAGGUGGCUGUGUAAGUCUGCUGUCAAAGAGCGAAGCUCAACUUCGUAAAGGCAGUGGAAACUACACGGCUAGAGUGCGUUCGGGGCAGAGGGAAUUCCUGGUGUAGCGGUGAAAUGCGUAGAGAUCAGGAAGAACACCCGUGGCUAAGGCGGCUCUCUAGUACGGUACUGACGCUGAGACGCGAAAGCGUGGGGAGCGAACAGG
This 253-nucleotide ribosomal RNA is filed under the name uncultured bacterium. RNAcentral describes it as "partial 16S ribosomal RNA". It matches the Rfam family "Bacterial small subunit ribosomal RNA", at positions 524 to 776 of the family's 1533-position model. The record is from RNAcentral.